CUACGGGGGGCACCAGUGGGGAAUAUUGCACAAUGGGCGCAAGCCUGAUGCAGCCAUGCCGCGUGUAUGAAGAAGGCCUUCGGGUUGUAAAGUACUUUCAGCGGGGAGGAAGGGAGUAAAGUUAAUACCUUUGCUCAUUGACGUUACCCGCAGAAGAAGCACCGGCUAACUCCGUGCCAGCAGCCGCGGUAAUACGGAGGGUGCAAGCGUUAAUCGGAAUUACUGGGCGUAAAGCGCACGCAGGCGGUUUGUUAAGUCAGAUGUGAAAUCCCCGGGCUCAACCUGGGAACUGCAUCUGAUACUGGCAAGCUUGAGUCUCGGAGAGGGGGGGUAGAAUUCCAGGUGUAGCGGUGAAAUGCGUAGAGAUCUGGAGGAAUACCGGUGGCGAAGGCGGCCCCCUGGACGAAGACUGACGCUCAGGUGCGAAAGCGUGGGGAGCAAACAGGAUUAGAUACCCUAGUAGUC
This 465-nucleotide ribosomal RNA is filed under the name uncultured bacterium. RNAcentral's name for it is "partial 16S ribosomal RNA". It matches the Rfam family "Bacterial small subunit ribosomal RNA", at positions 339 to 795 of the family's 1533-position model. The record is from RNAcentral.